Molecule: ribosomal RNA, 459 nt
Filed under: uncultured bacterium
Lineage: Bacteria
Description: partial 16S ribosomal RNA
Rfam family: Bacterial small subunit ribosomal RNA
Source: RNAcentral
CCUACGGGUGGCAGCAGUGAGGAAUAUUGGUCAAUGGCCGAGAGGCUGAACCAGCCAAGUCGCGUGAGGGAAGACGGCCCUACGGGCUGUAAACCCCUUUUGUCGGGGAGCAAAGCGAACCACGUGUGGUUCAUUGAGAGUACCCGAAGAAUAAGCAUCGGCUAACUCCGUGCCAGCAGCCGCGGUAAUACGGAGGAUGCGAGCGUGAUCCGGAUUUAUUGGGUUUAAAGGGUGCGCAGGCGGAGGUGCAAGUCAGCGGUCAAAUUGCGGGGCUCAACCCCGUACUGCCGUUGAAACUGCAUCCCUUGAGUGCGCGAGGAGUGAGCGGAAUGCGAGGUGUAGCGGUGAAAUGCGUAGAUAUCACGCGGAACUCCGGUGGCGAAGGCGGCAUACCGGCGCGCAACUGACGCUCAUGCACGAAAGCGUGGGUAUCGAACAGGAUUAGAUACCCCUGUAGUC